This 677-nucleotide ribosomal RNA is filed under the name Acanthobothrium sp. 1. Its description in RNAcentral is "partial large subunit ribosomal RNA". RNAcentral also lists the same sequence under 1 other name. Lineage: Eukaryota; Metazoa; Platyhelminthes; Cestoda; Tetraphyllidea; Onchobothriidae. The record is from RNAcentral.
ACCGCAUGCAGGUAAACGGGUGGCGUCAAGCUGCAAGCUCAGAGGAUUCAGCCGGCUAGGAUGUUGUGUAUGCGCCUGGCGCAUCCAUCAGUCAGAGUAUGAUUAGAUAGUCCACUGGUAAACGGUGGGCCCGACCGCAAGGUUGGGAUAUGUGUACCGGGUGGGUGCCGGAGCAUGCUAUCUGUCUAGGGACUGUCUAGCCGGUGCACUUUCUCUGUGGCUGACACCACGACCGGUGGUAUUGCCAGUCUGCUGUGUCCAAGUCGUAUCCGGUAGGUCCUUGUGGCCAACUGGGUGCGAUCACAGACAAACUCAGUAUACGGCGUAGAGGGGUUUCGGCUUCUUUGCGUGUUAUCGGCUACUGGUUGUCAACGGGCUGCCUAGUGUUUGUUGUAAUCGGCACUUGGGUAGUCUGGUGGGGCAUGGUGGUAAGAAUAACUGUGCAAGGCACCGGAUUUAUCGGCCUCAAAUGCACUCCGCGCCCAUGUUACAAGUGGUGCUAUGGUGGUGCCGUCGCUGCCUGCUCGGUGUUGGGUCUGAUUGUCGUGUCGCCUGCGAAAAGUGGGCCCGGCUUUGGCUCGACUCGAGAUGGGUAGUGUAUGGUGUCGUCAGUGCGGAGUGUGGUGGGCCUAAUAGUCAGUGGUGUAGUGGUAGACGAGCUACCCGACCCGUCUUGA